UACGUAGGGUGCGAGCGUUGUCCGGAAUUAUUGGGCGUAAAGAGCUUGUAGGCGGUUUGUCGCGUCUGCUGUGAAAAUCCGGGGCUCAACCCCGGACUUGCAGUGGGUACGGGCAGACUAGAGUGUGGUAGGCGAGACUGGAAUUCCUGGUGUAGCGGUGAAAUGCGCAGAUAUCAGGAGGAACACCGAUGGCGAAGGCAGGUCUCUGGGCCACUACUGACGCUGAGAAGCGAAAGCGUGGGGAGCGAACAGG
This 253-nucleotide ribosomal RNA is filed under the name uncultured bacterium. RNAcentral's name for it is "partial 16S ribosomal RNA". It matches the Rfam family "Bacterial small subunit ribosomal RNA", at positions 524 to 776 of the family's 1533-position model. The record is from RNAcentral.